Molecule: unclassified non-coding RNA, 256 nt
Filed under: uncultured fungus
Lineage: Eukaryota; Fungi
Description: sequence contains ITS2
Source: RNAcentral
AAUGCAAAUUGCACUUCUUGGUAUUCCAAUAAGUACAUAUACUUGAGGGUCAGUUAAAAAAAAUAUCAUAUAUCUUUGAUGUUGUAGAUCUGGUAUUCCGAUCUUAUCGGUUACCUAAAAUUAAGAUGAAUAUAUAAUGUUAAGCAUACUAAUUAUUAGUUGCUAAUCAUUUAUUAUACUUAUUACAUUACGUUUAAGUAUUUAGUUGGUGGUGUAUAAAUUAUUCAAAUCAUGUGAGAGUACCCACCAAACUUAA